RNAcentral lists this ribosomal RNA (532 nucleotides) under uncultured bacterium. RNAcentral describes it as "bacterial SSU rRNA". It matches the Rfam family "Bacterial small subunit ribosomal RNA", at positions 777 to 1315 of the family's 1533-position model. The record is from RNAcentral.
AAUAGAUACCCCGGUAGUCCACGCUGUAAACGUUGGGCGCUAGGUGUGGGGGGCCUCUCCGGUUCUCUGUGCCGCAGCUAACGCAUUAAGCGCCCCGCCUGGGGAGUACGGCCGCAAGGCUAAAACUCAAAGGAAUUGACGGGGGCCCGCACAAGCGGCGGAGCAUGCGGAUUAAUUCGAUGCAACGCGAAGAACCUUACCUGGGUUUGACAUGGCCGCAAAACCGGCAGAGAUGUCGGGUCCUUCGGGGCGGUCACAGGUGGUGCAUGGCUGUCGUCAGCUCGUGGCGUGAGAUGUUGGGUUAAGUCCCGCAACGAGCGCAACCCUCGUUCGAUGUUGCCAGCGGUUCGGCCGGGGACUCAUCGAAGACUGCCGGGGUCAACUCGGAGAAGGUGGGGAUGACGUCAAGGUCAUCAUGCCCCUUACGUCCAGGGCUUCACGCAUGCUACAAUGGCCGGUACAAUGGGCUGCGAUACCGUGAGGUGAGCGAAUCCCAAAAGCCGGUCUCAGUUCGGAUCGGGUCUGCAACUGA